This 459-nucleotide ribosomal RNA is filed under the name uncultured bacterium. Its description in RNAcentral is "partial 16S ribosomal RNA". It matches the Rfam family "Bacterial small subunit ribosomal RNA", at positions 338 to 795 of the family's 1533-position model. The record is from RNAcentral.
CCUACGGGGUGCAGCAGUGAGGAAUAUUGGUCAAUGGCCGAGAGGCUGAACCAGCCAAGUCGCGUGAGGGAAGACGGCCCUACGGGUUGUAAACCUCUUUUGUCGGGGAGCAAAGCGAGUCACGUGUGACUCAUUGAGAGUACCCGAAGAAAAAGCAUCGGCUAACUCCGUGCCAGCAGCCGCGGUAAUACGGAGGAUGCGAGCGUUAUCCGGAUUUAUUGGGUUUAAAGGGUGCGCAGGCGGAGGUGCAAGUCAGCGGUCAAAUUGCGGGGCUCAACCCCGUACUGCCGUUGAAACUGCAUCCCUUGAGUGCGCGAGAAGUAUGCGGAAUGCGUGGUGUAGCGGUGAAAUGCAUAGAUAUCACGCAGAACUCCGAUUGCGAAGGCGACCUGCUAGAACAUAACUGACGCUGAUGCGCGAAAGCGUGGGGAGCAAACAGGAUUAGAUACCCUGGUAGUC